AUGUCAUUUUCUGAUAUGCCAACUCCACUAAUAGUCCAGACUCCUGGUUCCAAAUGGCAAACCUCCAAGGUAAGCCAUGGUAAUGAAGUCCUUGUUGACAGACUGGUAUUCCUAGCCUCUUUGAUAUUUCUCAAGUCUUCAAAUAUUAACAUCAUCUUGGGCAUGGACUGGAUGACAGCUCAUCAUGCCAAGAUCGAUUGUUACACCAGAUCUGUUCAACUUACACAUCCAUCUGGCAAAAUAGUCACUGUCUCUACUAGAGUUGCAAGGCGUCAACUCUAUUCUCUUAAUGCCAGCCCUCUUCCAGACCUUGAAGAUAUUCCGGUAGUCCAUGAUUUCCCGGAUGUCUUUCCAGAAGAACUGCCAGGUGUCCCACCUGAUAGAGAUGUAGAGUUUGUCAUAGAACUUAUCCUGGGAACUGUUCCAAUCUCUAGGAGACCAUACAAGAUGGCACCUUUGGAGUUAGCCGAGCUUAAGAAACAACUUGAUGAGUCCUUGCAAAAGGGUUUCAUCCGUCCCAGUUCUUCUCCUUGGGCUUGUCCUGUCCUCUUUGUCAAGAAGAAGGAUGGUACGGAUCGGAUGGUUGUAGAUUAUCGUCCCAUUAAUGUGGUCACGAUAAAGAACAAGUAUCCACUCCCCAGGAUCAACGACCUGUAUGAUCAGCUCGCUGGAUCCUCAGUCUUUUCCAAGAUGGAUUUGAGGUUAGGCUACCACCAAAUCAAAAUCAGAAAUGGGGACAUCCCCAAAACGUCCUUUGUCACUCGUUAUGGUCAAUAUGAGUACACCGUGAUGUCUUUCGGCCUAACCAAUGCUCCAGCUACUUUCUCCCUCUUGAUGAACUCGAUCUUCAUGGAGUACUUAGAUAAGUUCGUUGUGGUUUAUCUCGAUGAUAUUCUUAUUUAG
This 903-nucleotide ribosomal RNA is filed under the name Triticum aestivum (bread wheat). RNAcentral describes it as "partial small subunit ribosomal RNA". The record is from RNAcentral. Lineage: Eukaryota; Viridiplantae; Streptophyta; Magnoliopsida; Poales; Poaceae.